GCCUGGCUGGCUUAGUUGAUAGAGCAUGCAACUCUUGAUCUCAAGGUUAUGGGUUCAAGUCCCAUGUUGAGUG
Molecule: transfer RNA, 73 nt
Filed under: Mustela putorius furo (domestic ferret)
Lineage: Eukaryota; Metazoa; Chordata; Mammalia; Carnivora; Mustelidae
Rfam family: tRNA
About the family: Transfer RNA (tRNA) molecules are approximately 80 nucleotides in length. Their secondary structure includes four short double-helical elements and three loops (D, anti-codon, and T loops). Further hydrogen bonds mediate the characteristic L-shaped molecular structure. tRNAs have two regions of fundamental functional importance: the anti-codon, which is responsible for specific mRNA codon recognition, and the 3' end, to which the tRNAs corresponding amino acid is attached (by aminoacyl-tRNA synthetases). tRNAs cope with the degeneracy of the genetic code in two manners: having more than one tRNA (with a specific anti-codon) for a particular amino acid; and 'wobble' base-pairing, i.e. permitting non-standard base-pairing at the 3rd anti-codon position.
Source: Rfam by way of RNAcentral